UACGGAGGGUGCAAGCGUUGUCCGGAAUCACUGGGCGUAAAGGGCGCGUAGGCGGCUCAUGAAGGCUGUGGUGAAAGUCCGGGGCUCAACCUCGGAUCGGCCGUGGCGACUCGUGGGCUGGAGCACUGUAGAGGCGGGUGGAAUUCCGGGUGUAGCGGUGGAAUGCGUAGAGAUCCCCAAGAACACCAGUUGCGAAGGCGGCUGACUGGACACAUAUUGACGCUGAGGCUCGAAAGCAUGGGGAGCAAACAGG
This 253-nucleotide ribosomal RNA is filed under the name uncultured bacterium. Its description in RNAcentral is "partial 16S ribosomal RNA". It matches the Rfam family "Bacterial small subunit ribosomal RNA", at positions 524 to 776 of the family's 1533-position model. The record is from RNAcentral.